This 459-nucleotide ribosomal RNA is filed under the name uncultured bacterium. RNAcentral's name for it is "partial 16S ribosomal RNA". It matches the Rfam family "Bacterial small subunit ribosomal RNA", at positions 338 to 795 of the family's 1533-position model. The record is from RNAcentral.
CCUACGGGCGGCAGCAGUGAGGAAUAUUGGUCAAUGGUCGGGAGACUGAACCAGCCAAGCCGCGUGAGGGAUGAAGGUACAGAGUAUCGUAAACCUCUUUUGUCAGGGAACAAAGGCGGGGACGUGUCCCCGGAUGAGUGUACCUGAAGAAAAAGCAUCGGCUAACUCCGUGCCAGCAGCCGCGGUAAUACGGAGGAUGCGAGCGUUAUCCGGAUUUAGUGGGUGUAAAGGGUGCGCAGGCGGUCUGUUAAGUCAGCGGUCAAAGCCCGGGGCUCAACCCCGGCCCGCCGUUGAAACUGGCAGUCUCGAGUUGGAGAGAAGUAUGCGGAAUGCGCGGUGUAGCGGUGAAAUGCAUAGAUAUCGCGCAGAACUCCGAUUGCGAAGGCAGCAUGCCGGCUCCACACUGACGCUGAGGCACGAAAGCGUGGGUAUCGAACAGGAUUAGAUAUCCGGGUAGUC